AGAGUUUGAUCCUGGCUCAGGACGAACGCUGGCGGCGUGCCUAAUACAUGCAAGUAGAACGCUGAAGAGAGGAGCUUGCUCUUCUUGGAUGAGUUGCGAACGGGUGAGUAACGCGUAGGUAACCUGCCUUGUAGCGGGGGAUAACUAUUGGAAACGAUAGCUAAUACCGCAUAACAAUGGAUGACACAUGUCAUUUAUUUGAAAGGGGCAAUUGCUCCACUACAAGAUGGACCUGCGUUGUAUUAGCUAGUAGGUGAGGUAAUGGCUCACCUAGGCGACGAUACAUAGCCGACCUGAGAGGGUGAUCGGCCACACUGGGACUGAGACACGGCCCAGACUCCUACGGGAGGCAGCAGUAGGGAAUCUUCGGCAAUGGGGGCAACCCUGACCGAGCAACGCCGCGUGAGUGAAGAAGGUUUUCGGAUCGUAAAGCUCUGUUGUAAGUCAAGAACUGGUGUGAGAGUGGAAAGUUCACACUGUGACGGUAGCUUACCAGAAAGGGACGGCUAACUACGUGCCAGCAGCCGCGGUAAUACGUAGGUCCCGAGCGUUGUCCGGAUUUAUUGGGCGUAAAGCGAGCGCAGGCGGUUUGAUAAGUCUGAAGUUAAAGGCUGUGGCUCAACCAUAGUUCGCUUUGGAAACUGUCAAACUUGAGUGCAGAAGGGGAGAGUGGAAUUCCAUGUGUAGCGGUGAAAUGCGUAGAUAUAUGGAGGAACACCGGUGGCGAAAGCGGCUCUCUGGUCUGUAACUGACGCUGAGGCUCGAAAGCGUGGGGAGCGAACAGGAUUAGAUACCCUGGUAGUCCACGCCGUAAACGAUGAGUGCUAGGUGUUGGAUCCUUUCCGGGAUUCAGUGCCGCAGCUAACGCAUUAAGCACUCCGCCUGGGGAGUACGACCGCAAGGUUGAAACUCAAAGGAAUUGACGGGGGCCCGCACAAGCGGUGGAGCAUGUGGUUUAAUUCGAAGCAACGCGAAGAACCUUACCAGGUCUUGACAUCCCGAUGCUAUUUCUAGAGAUAGAAAGUUACUUCGGUACAUCGGUGACAGGUGGUGCAUGGUUGUCGUCAGCUCGUGUCGUGAGAUGUUGGGUUAAGUCCCGCAACGAGCGCAACCCCUAUUGUUAGUUGCCAUCAUUCAGUUGGGCACUCUAGCGAGACUGCCGGUAAUAAACCGGAGGAAGGUGGGGAUGACGUCAAAUCAUCAUGCCCCUUAUGACCUGGGCUACACACGUGCUACAAUGGUUGGUACAACGAGUUGCGAGUCGGUGACGGCGAGCUAAUCUCUUAAAGCCAAUCUCAGUUCGGAUUGUAGGCUGCAACUCGCCUACAUGAAGUCGGAAUCGCUAGUAAUCGCGGAUCAGCACGCCGCGGUGAAUACGUUCCCGGGCCUUGUACACACCGCCCGUCACACCACGAGAGUUUGUAACACCCGAAGUCGGUGAGGUAACCUUUUGGAGCCAGCCGCCUAAGGUGGGACAGAUGAUUGGGGUGAAGUCGUAACAAGGUAGCCGUAUCGGAAGGUGCGGCUGGAUCACCU
Molecule: ribosomal RNA, 1536 nt
Filed under: Streptococcus thermophilus
Lineage: Bacteria; Bacillati; Bacillota; Bacilli; Lactobacillales; Streptococcaceae
Description: bacterial SSU rRNA
Rfam family: Bacterial small subunit ribosomal RNA
Source: RNAcentral